RNAcentral lists this ribosomal RNA (254 nucleotides) under uncultured bacterium. RNAcentral's name for it is "partial 16S ribosomal RNA". It matches the Rfam family "Bacterial small subunit ribosomal RNA", at positions 524 to 776 of the family's 1533-position model. The record is from RNAcentral.
UACGUAGGGUGCGAGCGUUGUCCGGAAUUAUUGGGCGUAAAGAGCUCGUAGGCGGUCUGUCGCGUCGGUCGUGAAAACUUGGGGCUUAACCCUGAGCUUGCGGUCGAUACGGGCAUGACUGGAGUUCGGUAGGGGAGACUGGAAUUCCUGGUGUAGCGGUGAAAUGCGUAGAGAUGUGGAGGAACACCGGUGGCGAAGGCGGCAUCCUGGACCAACACUGACGCUGAGGAGCGAAAGCCAGGGGAGCAAACGGG